GUUAAGUAUUUUAUGUUUAUUGCAGAAACAACACUUGUACACAUGGCAAAAGAAAACUACAAGAUUUCCUAUCCUUACAAAUUUACAUACAAGCUAUAGCUGCUACAUAUUAGCAGAUUAUACGUGACCAGUCUCUACCAGUAUAUUUCCUUCACAAUAGAGGACCUCCUUGAAAAGCACCUUUCGGUGAAGGAACUUUCCUCUUAAUUAAAAAGGGGGGGAAAGACGCUGUUGCAACUUGCAAUCACUGAUCUCAAACGGAUGGGUGGAUAGAGCAACUGUUAUGCAUAAAUGAAGCCAGUGUGGCGACCAUAUUGAUGUAACUACCAAAUAUCUACAAUGGCGUUGCCAGUGAACGUGGCGUUGCUGUUUUUGAAUAGCUGGAGGGUGAGUAGUCGCAUAGUAAGGUACGACACUAAAGGUCCAUACAGACCGGACGCGAUUUGGCAACGCGACGCGAAUUUUCAAUUUUCAAUGACAUUUAAUAUUUUUCUAUGUUUCUCAAAUAUUCGGAACCACUUGAGCAAUUUUAGCUAUUUGGUCUGCAUAUCUUGUAAAAUUUUAGUAUCCGUUGACGGUUUUAUUUGUUUUUAAAAACUGAAAAUUCGCGUCGCGUUCGGUCUGUGUGGACCUUAACCCUCCAGCUAUUCAAAAACAGCAAUGACACUCGAGAGAAGCUCAGAUUGAACCUCCACUCAUUGAGUGUGAGUGUGCUUUUAGAAUACGGGCGUAAAUCUCAUUAGAAGUGGUGUGAGGAGCUAUAUCUUUCAAGUUACGUAAAAGAAGAUAUUUGCUUGUAACUAAUUUAAACACGUAAAGCCUGUUUUCCACUCACGUAUUUCGCCGCCGCUGGCGAAAAAUUUCGCCACCGAAAAAGUUCAUUUGAUGUUCUUUCGCGCGGUCAACGAAAGGUCAAACAGAAGUUGAAAAUUUUAAGCAACUGUAGCAGGAGAACAAAUUUCUUCAGCGGCGAAUGAAUGUAAAAAAAUGAUUUCUUCGCCAAAAUUUUUCGCCAGCGGCGGCGAAAUAACGGAGUGGAAAACGGGCGUAAGGAUUUGAUUCGUAUAGGGAAUGUGACAGAUUUAUUAAUCUCUCCUCAUUUUAGGGAGACGGAGUGUUCAUUAUUUAUACCCGGGGUUGGGACCGAAGAGAAAUGGGUUGGGUAAGCCAUUUUUCUGGGGUAUGAAGGGUUGGGUAAAUAUUUUUUGAACAAAGCCUAUGGUUGGGUAAAUUAUUUUCAAUACAAACCUUCAAUUGAACAAAAUAUAAAAACCCUUUAUUUAACGAAGUGGGUCAUUCCAGGAAAUAUCCAUUCAUUCCACACAAAGAAAACUAAACUCCAACUCCCCAUCCCCUCUGAUUACAACGAGAUAUGGUAGGACUGCAGGAACUUGGAACAUAAUAUGAACUUGUGAAGGUACAAAUGAUUAUUUUGACAUCCAGUUAGUGCAUCAAAUAUGCACAGUACUGUUUAUACUAUAGUGGCCUAGCUUGUAUAAUAAUAUAUAUGUAUAUAUGUAAAAUACUUGUAUAAUUUUGAAAUUGGGUUGGGUAAAAUAAAAAUCCAAGUCAUGCAAUAGUUCGGUAGGGAAAAAAAUGGUUGAUCGAAAGGGUGGGUGGUUGUUUUUUUCUCUUUUCGAUUAGUUUCUCUUCGGUACCAACCCCGGGUAUAAAUAAUGAACACUCCCUUAUAUAUUAUUCUGGCUUCAAAAUUAAUUCCCUGAAUUCAGAAGGUUAGUGUGCUAUGCAGUUCCAGAUUUGAGAUCAGAAAUUUCAUAGAAAAAUUACAUAAUUCUCUUGAAGGAUGAAAAAUGAAGAAAUAUGAUAAGGGUGAAAAUUAGCCUUUCUCACGCCGCCAUUUUUGGGUGGCAUUUCAGCUGAAGUCUGUGCGAUAAGUCCACAUAACAGCGACUUUUUGUAAUUUUUUGGACGAAUGAUGGUAAAUGUUCUUUGUAAAUGGUUAGUUUAUCGCUUUUCACAUUGUUUUAAUUGUCUGCAUUGGAUAAUGAAAAUUUGAUGCCACCCAAAAAUGGCGGAUAUUCGUCAUCGUGAGAAAGGCUAAUUAUAUGCAACUAGUGAUUCAUCUGGUGAGUGCGAUUUCAGAUUUGUAUUAUCACAAGUUUGAUUUCAGUCCAAAAUUGCACGACACGAAGUUCAAUUACCAUUCAGGGUUGCCAGUUUGGCGUUAAAAAAGCCAAAUUUCUCGAUUUUGGCUUCUUUUGACUUCGUUUGGCUACUAAAAAUUUCGUUUGGCUUCUUUCUAUUUUUUGGCUCUUUUUGGCUUCUUUUUGAAUAAAUCUGAAAUAAGCAACUUUUCAAAAAUAAUCUGCCAUCCUUCAGUAAAAGUUAGUUAAACUCUGCUAUGUUCGAUUACAUUAUCCAUUUAUCCGGGAUUCCGGAUGUACGUAAAUAUUCGAUCGGAAUUAGUACCCUCUCCCUGGGUUAUGCGGUUCGCCCCGAACGGCGGGAAAACGAAAAUGAUAAAAUACUCUUUUUUUUCGGUGUUGAACGCUUGAAUUCGGAAGAUUUACUCUAAAUUUCGAUUUUGGCUUCUUUUGGCCGGAUUUGGCUACUUUUUACGUUGCAUUUGGCUCUUUCGGGCUCAGACCACCUGGCAACCCUGUUACCAUUAUUUAUUAUAUUCAUUUUGAAAUCUUAAAUAUUUUUGUGAACCGGAAACGUUUUUGUUUGCAAAAGACACACCUCCGGUACCUCCCCGAGUGCUGUAGCAU
Non-coding RNA from Paramuricea clavata, 2732 nucleotides. The record is from the annotation of a GenBank genome assembly. Lineage: Eukaryota; Metazoa; Cnidaria; Anthozoa; Malacalcyonacea; Plexauridae.